AUUGAACGCUGGCGGCAUGCCUUACACAUGCAAGUCGAACGGCAGCACGGGAGCAAUCCUGGUGGCGAGUGGCGAACGGGUGAGUAAUAUAUCGGAACGUGCCCGGUCGUGGGGAUAACGUAGCGAAAGCUACGCUAAUACCGCAUACGAUCUACGGAUGAAAGCGGGGGAUCGCAAGACCUCGCGCGAUUGGAGCGGCCGAUAUCAGAUUAGGUAGUUGGUGAGGUAAAGGCUCACCAAGCCGACGAUCUGUAGCUGGUCUGAGAGGACGACCAGCCACACUGGGACUGAGACACGGCCCAGACUCCUACGGGAGGCAGCAGUGGGGAAUUUUGGGACAAUGGGCGCAAGCCUGAUCCAGCAAUGCCGCGUGCAGGAUGAAGGCCUCGGUGUAACUGCUUUGUACGUA
This 409-nucleotide ribosomal RNA is filed under the name uncultured bacterium. RNAcentral's name for it is "bacterial SSU rRNA". It matches the Rfam family "Bacterial small subunit ribosomal RNA", at positions 30 to 443 of the family's 1533-position model. The record is from RNAcentral.